Molecule: long non-coding RNA, 1167 nt
Filed under: Homo sapiens (human)
Lineage: Eukaryota; Metazoa; Chordata; Mammalia; Primates; Hominidae
Description: non-protein coding HCG15:10
Source: RNAcentral
GGGAAGAGAGAGAGAGAGAGAAAGGAAAAGAAAGAGAAAGAAAAGAAAGAAAAACUAGGCGCGGUCACGUGUGCACGCUUGGGCUCGUUACUGCUCAGAAUUUUAGAAUCACAGAUCCAGCAGUGAUCAGGCAGCUGCAGCUGUCAGGGACCACCACCACCUACGCGAUUGAUCCGUGGGAGAAGCCGUCCUACUCUUUUCUUUCUCCUUUGUCCUUCUCAUUCCUGACCCCUUCAGGAUUCUCAGUCUUCCCUCCGGGAGACUUUUGGCCAGUCUUGUCUCGCUCCAACCUCCUACCCCCACCCCAUUCCUCAGUGCAUUCGUGAAUUUCUCCAAGCAGGCCUUUCCAGAUCGACACUAAGUUCCAAUCCCGAGCUGUGUGACCCAGCACCAAUUCAGUCACGAUGAUGACUUGCAAUUGCUUAAUCAGUUGGCCUUUCCUCCUAGCUGUGAAGGUUUUACCGUGCAGGAUUGCAAACACCAGAGAGAAAAUCAGUCUCUGGAAUGAUGCCUUUGAUGGACCAAGAUGCAGCUGAUGAAGCAUUGAACCAAUUAGCACCUAGCAGGAGGGCACCCUUGCUCUGUGUCCUUGAAGGUUAAAGCUGUCAAAAAGUGGUCUCCCUCAAGUUCGGCCAUCUUGCUCUCAGAGAUCUAGAACUGGUGACUCAGUCAAAAUUUUGGGCCAAGGAGACCGACGCGCUGUCGCCUGCACUAAGAGAAACGCAACGAACAACUUUGUCAAUGCAUUGCAUUAUACUAUAGCAGCAACUAUACUUUUAAAUGAUUCGAAUCUUGAGGUUUCAAACUGAACCGUCUUGUGCCUUUUGCCCGGCGGGCAUUUCUGCGGGGACCGCGGGUCACCUUCUGAAUUUUUACCUUCAUAAACAGCAAGGACUGCGCUCUUUCGCACGGCGCCCCGUUUUUUCGUAGAGUUCCGUCGGCCAAAACCACUUGAAACUCGCUCAGCGGCGUCGGGGCUCCAGCCAGGCGUCACCUUCCACAGCGAACCUGCGAACCACAGCGUCCCCUGGGGGUCUCCGUCCGCGUGGCCGCUUCCUCUUACAUCGGUGACGCAAGGGAAGGGCGUCUAGGAUCCGCCGGUUUCCUUCCUCACUGCUCCCAUCAGUGCGAAAGCAACGUGUUGGGGGUUCGGGGUGUGUGGCGGCU